CGGAGAGGCAGGCGGAAUUCCCAGUGUAGCGUUGAAAUGCGUAGAUAUUGGGAGGAACACCAGUGGCUAAGGCGGCCUGCUGGACGACAACUGACGCUGACGCGCGAAAGCGUGGGGAGCAAACAGGAUUAGAUACCCUGGUAUUCCACGCUGUAAACGAUCCCUACUAUGUGUGGGGGGACUGACCCCCUCCGUGCCGGACUUAACACAAGAAGUAUUCCACCUGGGGAGUACGGCCGCAAGGUUUAAACUC
RNAcentral lists this ribosomal RNA (253 nucleotides) under uncultured bacterium. Its description in RNAcentral is "partial 16S ribosomal RNA". It matches the Rfam family "Bacterial small subunit ribosomal RNA", at positions 650 to 902 of the family's 1533-position model. The record is from RNAcentral.